AGUGAUUAUAUAAUUGGCAGCACCUUGCUGCGUGUCACUCCUCACCACUGCAGACACACUCGGCCUCUAGCUGUUAACACCUUGCACAUGCUCCAUCAUAGAAAACAAAUAUUUAGUUUCAACAUGCUUGAAGCACAAUACCCAACUUUGCUUUUAUUUGUUACCACAUUAUUGAUGGUGACCUGUCGUAGCACUGAACGUGUGGCUGAACAAGUUUGGUCUCACUGGAGCAAGUCUCCUUCAAGUGUGGAUGGGUCAGACGGUGACAGAUGUGCUUAAAAUCAGCUGAAAGAGACUCAAAGACUCCAUCUGCUGCAGUCCAUCUUCAGAUGAUGGUGUUGAUACUGUUCCAGGGAGAUGACAAACUUUAAGGACCCUAUUUCACGCGUCACUUGCCAGUUUAUUAGGGCGUCAUUGGAGAAGAGAGCUUGCUGUCAAUGGCCCUCCCUGAAUAAAUAAGAUGUCAGAAAUUACCUUUGUGUUUGCUCCGGUGGCCUGAUCUUUUUCAAUGUGAAAGCAGACGUGGAACUGCAUCCCAACUCUGAAUCGAUUUCAUUACUACUUGACAGGGAGAACCUGAAGGACAAUCAAUUCCUGCCACUUGAGGCUGCCUGCUUGCUGUUGUCGGGGCUGCUGUACGGAUCCUCCUUUUGGACCCAUCCUCUACAUUAACAACCAUUCAUCAUUCUGUGACAGCAUGUUCCAUGGAGCCAGUGUCUAACAUUUUAGUUUUUGAUAACUGGCCUUACCUUUUUGUGAACUACUAUUACAGACUUAAACCUAAGAGUUUUUCUUCAUCACACUGUUGGGCUAUAAAUAACACUGCAUCCUCCAGCAAACCAGCUUUUAUAUCCAGUUUCCUUGGAGAUGUGAUCUCAGUGGGGGUAGCUCAAGGAUUAAUAAAGAGUAUUACUUUUUGUAUCCAUUUAGCUCCAACUUUAAUAUUUGCUAUAUUGACUGACCUAUUACAUGCAAAGGAAUGCAAUUGAUUUUAGCUUUUUUUUUUUGGUUUCAUUUUUAUUGAAAUGAUGUGAAACGGUCAAUUCUUGUUUGAACUUCUUCACAGAACUCUAUUUUUAUCUGCAGUGCUCUAGCAUUUUUGUUGCGACCACAGUGUACUUUGCCCUCUACUGUGCUGCCAUGAAUAAAAGGCCCAGGGUCUA
This is an RNA transcript of Perca fluviatilis (European perch), 1163 nucleotides long. RefSeq lists it as uncharacterized. The record is from RefSeq and is a predicted model, not a curated record. Lineage: Eukaryota; Metazoa; Chordata; Actinopteri; Perciformes; Percidae. The transcript is spliced from 6 exons.